CCCCUCCGAGCUUUGCUCGUCUCCCCUCGGGGGAGGUUGGGCUCAAGAGCGGUCGACCCUUAUUCUAUUUUCGAAGCGGAAAUAGUCGGGUCGGACAGCCAAGUACCGUGCAAUCAAGUUUUGGCUUCCGCGCGCGCGCGUAAGAGCUGAACGCUUUCCCCUCCGAGCUGCGCUCUUCCUCCCUCGGGGAGGUGAGCUCAUUAGCUCCUUAGCUCCUUAGCU
This 222-nucleotide long non-coding RNA is filed under the name Panax ginseng (ginseng). RNAcentral describes it as "long non-coding RNA (PGIN_LNC014147)". The record is from RNAcentral. Lineage: Eukaryota; Viridiplantae; Streptophyta; Magnoliopsida; Apiales; Araliaceae.